AUUGAACGCUGGCGGCAGGCCUAACACAUGCAAGUCGAACGAGUGGCGGACGGGUGCGUAAUGUCUGGGAAACUGCCAGAUGGAGGGGGAUAACUACGGGAAACGGUAGCUAAUACCGCAUACCAUCGGAUGUGCCCAGGUGGGAUUAGAUAGUAGGUGGGGUAAUGGCUAACCUAGGCGACGAUCCCUAGCUGGUCUGAGAGGAUGACAAGCCACACUGGAACGGAGACACGGUCAAGACUCAUACGGGAGGCAGCAGUGGGGAAUAUGGCACAAUGGGCGCAAGCCUGAUGCAGCCAUGCCGCGUGUAUGAAGAAGGCCGUCGGGUUGUAAAGUACUUUCAGCGAGGAGGCGUUACUCGCAGAAGAAGCACCGGCUAACUCCGUGCCAGCAGCCGCGGUAAUUC
This 406-nucleotide ribosomal RNA is filed under the name uncultured bacterium. Its description in RNAcentral is "partial 16S ribosomal RNA". It matches the Rfam family "Bacterial small subunit ribosomal RNA", at positions 29 to 526 of the family's 1533-position model. The record is from RNAcentral.